This 76-nucleotide transfer RNA is filed under the name Thermofilum pendens Hrk 5. RNAcentral's name for it is "tRNA-Phe (GAA) (tRNA-Phe-GAA-1-1)". It matches the Rfam family "tRNA". From Rfam's summary of the family: Transfer RNA (tRNA) molecules are approximately 80 nucleotides in length. Their secondary structure includes four short double-helical elements and three loops (D, anti-codon, and T loops). RNAcentral also lists the same sequence under 5 other names. The record is from RNAcentral. Lineage: Archaea; Thermoproteati; Thermoproteota; Thermoprotei; Thermofilales; Thermofilaceae.
GCCGGGGUAGCUCAGCUGGGAGAGCGCUCGGCUGAAGACCGAGAGGUCCCGGGUUCAAAUCCCGGCCCCGGCACCA